This 216-nucleotide long non-coding RNA is filed under the name Trifolium pratense (red clover). RNAcentral's name for it is "long non-coding RNA (TPRA_LNC003481)". Lineage: Eukaryota; Viridiplantae; Streptophyta; Magnoliopsida; Fabales; Fabaceae. The record is from RNAcentral.
UUUGUUAGACAUAUGUUGGUAGUAGGCUUGAUCUUGUAUAUGUGCAGGCUUGAAUGUUGUGCAGUAGGCCUAAGCUGGCAGGCCUGGCUUGGCUGGCCUGAGGUUGGGCGCGCGCGUGUGGCUUGCGUGUGGGCCAAGUUAGUUAGUUAGCUUUGUUGUUAGUUUGUUGUAACUGUUUUUACUCUUUGAUCUUUGGCUAUAUAAUGCCUAAGACUA